This 465-nucleotide ribosomal RNA is filed under the name uncultured Klebsiella sp. Its description in RNAcentral is "bacterial SSU rRNA". It matches the Rfam family "Bacterial small subunit ribosomal RNA", at positions 338 to 795 of the family's 1533-position model. The record is from RNAcentral. Lineage: Bacteria; Pseudomonadati; Pseudomonadota; Gammaproteobacteria; Enterobacterales; Enterobacteriaceae.
CCUACGGGGGGCUGCAGUGGGGAAUAUUGCACAAUGGGCGCAAGCCUGAUGCAGCCAUGCCGCGUGUGUGAAGAAGGCCUUCGGGUUGUAAAGCACUUUCAGCGGGGAGGAAGGCGGUGAGGUUAAUAACCUCAUCGAUUGACGUUACCCGCAGAAGAAGCACCGGCUAACUCCGUGCCAGCAGCCGCGGUAAUACGGAGGGUGCAAGCGUUAAUCGGAAUUACUGGGCGUAAAGCGCACGCAGGCGGUCUGUCAAGUCGGAUAUGAAAUCCCCGGGCUCAACCUGGGAACUGCAUUCGAAACUGGCAGGCUAGAGUCUUGUAGAGGGGGGUAGAAUUCCAGGUGUAGCGGUGAAAUGCGUAGAGAUCUGGAGGAAUACCGGUGGCGAAGGCGGCCCCCUGGACAAAGACUGACGCUCAGGUGCGAAAGCGUGGGGAGCAAACAGGAUUAGAUACCCCGGUAGUC